This 294-nucleotide long non-coding RNA is filed under the name Theobroma cacao (cacao). RNAcentral describes it as "long non-coding RNA (TCAC_LNC006029)". Lineage: Eukaryota; Viridiplantae; Streptophyta; Magnoliopsida; Malvales; Malvaceae. The record is from RNAcentral.
AUUCUUACACUUAACACCAUAAACAACUAAAAACAUCCAUAUAUCUUAAAAAUCUAUCUAAAUCAUCAUCAAAUUCUCUCUCCUAGGGUUUGAUCAGCACACUAUCCUUCAUGAUAUCUUGUGAUUCAACCAUGAAAAAUGUAAAAUAAUGCAUAGGAAAGAUAGAUCACAAGCCAAAAUCAAGAAAUUUUAACUUUGAUUGCUUGAUUACUUGAAAUCCACCAAUUUUCUUUUGAAUUUUCACUCUAGGGUUUUUGUUCUUCUUUUCUUUCUUUGUUCUUGUUAUGGCCGGCC